RNAcentral lists this transfer RNA (69 nucleotides) under human gut metagenome. It matches the Rfam family "tRNA". Rfam says of the family: Transfer RNA (tRNA) molecules are approximately 80 nucleotides in length. Their secondary structure includes four short double-helical elements and three loops (D, anti-codon, and T loops). The record is from RNAcentral. RNAcentral also lists the same sequence under 1 other name.
CCAGAUAGCUCAGUUGGUAGAGCAGAGGACUGAAAAUCCUUGUGUCGGCAGUUCGAUUCUGCCUUUGGC